AAAUAUAAACUUUCUGCACACGCGUGAGUCUUUCAGAAAACCACACUAAAGCUCCAAGCCGUCUCUACCCGGAGUCCUGGGAGCAGCCUCCAGACCAGGACGCCCAACAACUACCUUCGGCAACGGCUGAAAUGCUCUAAUGCCCCUGGUAAGGAAGGAAGGAGUCUAGUGAGAAAGGGAUCCCGUCGAAAGAAUGCUAAACUUCCCCAAGAGGUAGUGGGAUAAAGUGGUCUGGACACAGCUCCUCAGCAAACCCCGACGCUCGCUUCGGAAAGCAUCCAGAACCUGCUCAGUUCCCACUGCUCUCCCGCGAGCUCACUCCAGCAGCCCCUCGCCAAGUGCUAGGAUUCUCACCAAAGAAGCCACAACCAUCCUGUCACUCCACUGCUCCAAGCCGUCGGGGGAAAGCCCAAGUCCCCGAAGACGGCCUCCUACCCCAAACGCACUCUGCGCCUCCCAGCCCUGUCACCGGCUGUGGCUCUGCUGGCUGCCCGCUUCGUAGCCAGGGUCUCCCUCCUCGGGGUUUGCUGUUCCCUGCACCUGGCAUCCUCACGCAAGCACUCAGGCAAGUCCUUCCCUGGCCGGCGCACUCAAAACCUCCACUCUCUCCAGCCCCGAUCUGCUUUCCCGAUUCAUUUUUCCGCACAGCAUUUCUCACCAUCUAACACGCUUUGUCUGCUGUCUGUGUCUCCAACUAAAACAUAAGCUACGUGAAGGCAGUGAUUUCGUCUGCUUUGUUCUUAACUGUAUUUCUAGUAUCUGGACCACUGCCUGGCACACACAGGCACUCACUAAGUAUUCGCUGGAUGGACGGAUGGACAGACGGACGGAUGGAUGGAUGGAAAUACACCAACAUACAGUCUAAGAGCAGGCCUUUGGGUCAGACAGACUAGGCUUCAAGUAACAGUGCUGCAUAAAAAUGAUUUGGUUUCUUUUUUAAUAGUUUCGAGUCCUUGGUAAAGUUUCUUUCUCAUUUUUUCCACCCACCCAAACGGUCAGAGAAAGACAGUAAUACCCAUCUCACAGGGUCGUUUGUCAAUCCUCAACAAGUUGCUGUUAUUACCUUGCUGUGAGCCUCAAGUGAAACGGUGAUGUAGGAAAGCCUUCUGUAAACUGAAAAGUAUUAACAGAAGUACCAGGUUCUUCACCUCGGCCUCACUACGUGAGGCCAGGCACAGGGUUAUUGCUUGGCGGGACUCAGCUCAUACAAUCCUCAUGGCCAUGCUGUGUGGCAGGUACUAAUCUCCCCAACUUCCAGACAAGCGAACUCAAGUCCCAAUACGACAUGGCGUGUGCAGUGGGGACCAAGCCAACGUCAUCAGCUCCCACUCACUGGUGUUACCACCCCUGCCAGGACUACCUCUGUUAUCAGUGACGAGACAAAAAUACUGGACAGAUAGU
Acinonyx jubatus (cheetah) is the source of this 1401-nucleotide long non-coding RNA. RefSeq lists it as uncharacterized. NCBI's taxonomy places the organism in Eukaryota, Metazoa, Chordata, Mammalia, Carnivora, Felidae. The transcript has 3 exons. The record is from RefSeq and is a predicted model, not a curated record.